Molecule: ribosomal RNA, 465 nt
Filed under: uncultured bacterium
Lineage: Bacteria
Description: partial 16S ribosomal RNA
Rfam family: Bacterial small subunit ribosomal RNA
Source: RNAcentral
AAUGAACGUUGGCGGCGUGGAUUAGGCAUGCAAGUCGAGCGAGAACCCCGCAAGGGGGGACAGCGGCGAAAGGGACAGUAAUGUGUAGAUUAACUGCCCUCAGGUCCGGGAUAGCUGCGGGAAACUGCAGGUAAUACCGGAUAACAUCUCCGGAUCAAAGGUGUGAUUCCGCCUGAGGAUGAGUCUGCAUCCUAUUAGCUAGUUGGUGGGGUAAUGGCCUACCAAGGCAUUGAUGGGUAGCAGGUGUAAGAGCACGACCUGCGUCAUUGGGACUGAGACACUGCCCAGACAACUACGGGUGGCUGCAGUCGAGAAUCGUCGGCAAUGGGCGCAAGCCUGACCGAGCGACGCCGCGUGUGGGAUGAAGGCCUUCGGGUUGUAAACCACUGUCAGAGGGGAUGAAAUGCAGGUGGGUUCUCCCAUCUGUUUGACAUAGCCUCAGAGGAAGGACGGGCUAAGUUCGUG